Struthio camelus australis is the source of this 3683-nucleotide non-coding RNA. Lineage: Eukaryota; Metazoa; Chordata; Aves; Struthioniformes; Struthionidae. The record is from RefSeq and is a predicted model, not a curated record.
GCUAAUGACUGUUCUCCCAUUAGAGGGGAAUAAAAUACUUCCCAAUGAAGUGUAGGAUUGAUUCUCUCUUCACUGGCAAAAGUUUUGCUGAUUUUAAAAGUGCAAGAUUGGGGCUUAUAGCCAUAUGUUUGAACUCUUGAUAAGAAGCCCAAGAACAUAAAAGCAACAGUAAAGCGCUCUUUUUUUGGGGGGGUCAUUGACUGAACUGUAGAAGUGCUUUCUGAGAGGCUUAGCGGUGUUAUGAACUGGAGACCUUACCGUGUUCUGAGGUGUGCUAAUGGUAAAGCAGGACUGCUCAUAAAGUACUUUGAAGAUAAUGCUAUCUGUAGCACGUGUUGUUAAUAAUUUUCAUCUUACAGCCUUGGUAAUGUCAGCUUUGGCAAAAAAAGACCAUUGGGCGUUAGCAAAUCCCACAAUAUUUGGAGAUUGUAAGGUAAGAAUGUAGAAAUAUAAGGGUAGUUUUAGCUAAAACUGGUGAUAAAAGGGGUGACCUGAUUUAGAAGGCUGGCAGUCCAGCACAAAAAGGAAACCGAAUCCAGAACCUCCAAUGUGAAACCUCUGAAUUUCAGUAUGUGUGCGCUGAGGAUGUGGGUGCAUGCUAUGUGGAUGCCAGAGGGAAGCCUCUUCUCCCAUUACUGUUUCAAGCAUGAGCAGCUUGCAGGUACCGCUUGCAUCACAAAAGCAGCCUCACCUUCACAGCUUGUUCUCCCAGCGUGGAAUCAAAUCUUUUCAGAAUAAGCUGUGAGAUUCUGGUGCUGCUAAACCGCAAUUUUGGCCUAAUUUAGGAGACUAACCGCUCUGCAGGUCAUCCCUGCUUGAAAGUUUUUUUUAAUAUGUUCUUUCUGAACCUUGGUACUGUAUCAGAUUUGAUGGACUUCUUUAUCUUGACUGUUAAAAGGAGUCUCUAAGACUUAAUUAUCCAGGUAUAGUAGAUACCGAGAAGUUAAUAAUAAACUCAGAAAUAUGCUGCUUAACCAGGUGUCCUGCUAAUUAUGUUAACGCUACAUCGGAAAUUGCUUUAACUUAAACAUUGCGGGUUUGUUUUGCCUUUUCCAGUUACCUGUCCACAGUUUCCUUCUUAAGGCUUUCUGCCUUUGCAAGCACCCGAAAGAGCACAUGAGGUUGCCUAAGGAAGCUGCUGUAGAACCGCAGGGCCCAGUCACAAGGUGGGAAGGCUAAAAAAAUCUGCUGCUCAAAACUACCCAAACUCCACAAAAAAGCGCAGAAAGGUAUGAAUCCCAAAAUGACUCUGAUGGAAAUAAGGAAAUAUUGCAAGCCUUGUCCUCAGGCAGCCCCUCCAGUGGUUCCUGGACCUCUUCCGCAGCUGAAAUGAGCAGACUGAGAGCAGGGUGAAGGGCAUCUGCUUGCCAACGCAUUUCAGUGCUUUACUUGGUUGAGGGUUCUCCUUUCACAAUUGGGCAUGAGUGUAUAUUAUUUUUGUUUGGGAAAAGCUUCAGUUGGUGUAAUGUUUAUUCAUUCCCUCAGGCUCCUUCAUUUUGUUGAUGCUAGCCCUGGCAGCUAAAGGGUCAGGCAAAGCUGUCUGGCUGCCACUGGAUCUUGUGUCAGUUGCAUAUCAUUCAUCGGUAUCAACUGAGUAUUUAGCUCCUCAAACAAGAGGGAGAGAAGAGGUAGCUGAAGAGUUUUUCUCAGAAUCACUGUUCUGCAUUUGUGGAUUUGCCUAAAGGGUGGAAAGGGCUGAUGUUAUUGUUUUUAGUUCUAUACGGUAUAUAUGUAUAUUCAACCUCUUUAAUGAAUGAUUUUAUAUUGACAAAAGGAUUUUAGUUGUAGCUUGGCGCGUGAAGAAUUUGUUCCUGAAGCCUUGACUCUCAGUGCUUGGAAUCCGCUUGGAAGUAGAUUUCUAGCAAAUGAGAAAAGUCAUGCUUUAGAGAAAGAGUGGAAAAAUUGGAUUAUAGCAGAUAGUUAACAUAGUGGUGGAGGGCUAGAUCCAAGUACAGCAGUAAAUUUUUUCAAUAUCUGCCCUGGGGUUUAAAUCAAGCCCUAAAAGCAAUGGUGCUGGUUCUUUAACUUCUCGGAAGAAUGUUAUCAGGUGGUUAUUAAACAGCAUUCUGAGAAGAUGUUAAGGUUUAUUGGAUUAAAUUUUUUUCUUUUCCUGAAGCUAGAGGGCAGCUGUUCUCCUAAGGCAUCUGUAUCAUGAUAUCACCUCAGAAUAAACAAAACUGCAGCCUGAGCAUGAAAUAAAGCAAAUGCUAAAACUGAUACUAAAGGUCUGAAUAAGAACAACAGAAGCUCCUUGUGCUAACAUCAUUAGCAGUCACUGGGGUCUUCACUCAUACGUCUCCCUUCCUUCCCUGUCCCCUCUAAGUGCUGCUAUUUCUAUGCCUGGGGUGAGUUCCUGAACCAGAAUUACUGGGAUAUUAGUAAGUUUGGUUUUGCUUGAAAAUGAGCAAUUUGCGUGACUAUGAGGUGGGGAAAGCUCUUGGCACUGUCAGUUCUCCGAGUACUGCUCUUUCCAUAAGAUAAUUUCCAGUGUGAUAGCAACAGUCUCCAGGCCCUUCAGUAAUUUAAGGGAGUUAAUGGGGAAAGUCAGGUGCCUGUUUUAGCCCCAAGGCAAAUGCAAUUCCCAAGACUAAAGUUAACAGGUAGUUGUGUGUGGCUGUGCUUUCGUAUUGACAAUGUUUCUAUUUUAGUGAGCAAUUGCACAGAUUUCUGGCUCUAGGAUUCCUUUGUUAUUUUUAUUGCUUUUGAGAUUAGAGCUGACCAUCAGUUUCCUAAUUUUGAAGAGCUGUCCCUGCAUAGCCUUUUUAUAUCAGAAAAAGGAGCUUCAAGUCCUUGUAAGAUUUCUGAGUCGGGAGGUUCGUGAAAGAGCCGUGUUUGAAUAUUCUGCCACUGAUCCCUGGGCAAACACAUUUAUUUCUGUUUUGCCUUUUGUAGUUCACAGAAGGGAUCUAUAGAAUACAAAUAAGUAGCGUAGAGUAUAUAUUUUGUAUAGUAAAUGGAUUUGGAGCAGGGUUUUACUGUAUAAGAUAUGGCCAUGUGUCUUUACAGAUCUGUAUAAAGAGUUGCUAACAGGUAUGGGGUUUCUUUUCUCUAAUAUGAACUUUAAAUACACUUUUAGAUCUGAAAAAUGCUACGUGAUUCUCUCCCUGCCCCACAAACGUCAAUUCCUUCAGGCAAGAUGUUCUCUGGGGCUUAGGCUUUUGCUAUCUGAUGAACACCAGCAGUACUACGGAAAUGCUCUGGGCCUUCUGGGGGAUUUGGGAAUGUCAUCCUUUGCGCUUAUGAGUAUUUUGACUCACCUAGUGUUACCCAGACUGGCCUUAAUACAAGGUUAAAGGGCUAUUCAAAUGGAAAACGUUACUUGUGUGAAGCCUUAGUCUUGACUGAACAAACUGAAGCAGGAAUCAUCAAGCUGUUUCAGCAUAGAUGUGACUGCUGCUGAACCAGGCUUUUUGCCUGGCCUGGAAGAACCUGAAGCUCAUCUGUUGACACCUGAAGAUGAUUCCUCGACAAAAGUCUGGCUGUCAUUUCCUGAGGCGUUUUCCUCAUGUAGUAGAACAGAGCUACCAUCUGAUUGUGGCUUAGCUUACAAAACAUGCCUGUUCUUCCUUUUGCUUUCCUUUCACUUCUAUGUAUAUAUCUGGCACUACUGGAGGAGAAAAUAUAUUUACUCAGUGGCUUUUCAAAGUAUAAAGCUGUAUGUUUAUAUAAAGAAGCAAAUCAAG